UUUAUGGAACAAGGGAAGACAACCAUAAGGUCUGACUGCCUAUGGGGUCGGGCAAAAAUAUUUUUCUUCUUGCAGAGGGCCUAUAAGCAGAUGUGCAAGUAGGAAAUAUACUGCUAAAUUCUUUUCCUAGCAAGGAAUAUUAAUAUUAAUACCCUGGGAAAAGAAUGUGUCCCUGGGGGGAGGUCUAUGAACAGCCGCUCUGGGAAUGUCUGUCUUGUACAGUUGAGAUAAGGACUUAGAUAAGCCUUGGUCUCCUGUAGAACCCUCAGGUUUACUAGGGUUGGGAAAACUCAGCCCUGGUAAAUUUGUGGUUAGAUUGGUUCUCUGCUCUCAAACCCUGUUUUCUGUUGUUUUGUUUAUCGCUCUCGGCUUUCGGCUCGGAGGAGGCCAAGGUGCAACUUUCUUCAGUCAUCCCAAAUCCGGGUUCAUCCGACACCAGCCGCCUCUACCAUGCUGCUGAAGUUCAACCCCAAUGAGAUCAAAGUAUACCUGAGGUGCACUGGAGGUGAAGUCGGUGCCACUUCUAUGCUGGCCCCCAAGAUCGGCCCCCUGGGUCUCUCUCUAAAAAAGGCUGGUGAUGACAUUGCCAAGGCAACAGGUGAUCGGAAGGUCCUGAGGAUUACAGUGAAACUGAGCAUACAGAACAGACAGGCCCAGAUUGAGGUGGUGCCUUCUGCCUCUGCCCUGACCAUCAAAGCCCUCAAGGAAUCACCAAGAGACAGAAAGAAACAGAAAAACAUUAAACACAGUAGGAAUAUCACUUAAGAUGAGAUCAUCGACAUUGCUCAACAGAUGCAGCACCUAUCCUUAGCCAGAGAACUCUCUGGAACCAUUAAAGAGAUCCUGGGGACUGCCCAGUCUGUGGGCUGUAAUGUUGAUGGCCGCCACCCUCAUGACAUGAUAGAUGACAUCAACAGUGGUGCUGUGGAAUGCCCAGCCAGUUAAGCACAAAGGAAAAUAUUUCAAUAAAGGAUCAUUUGACAACUAGAAAAAAAAAAA
Cercocebus atys (sooty mangabey) is the source of this 999-nucleotide RNA transcript. It is a transcript of the gene named 60S ribosomal protein L12 pseudogene, with no coding region annotated. Lineage: Eukaryota; Metazoa; Chordata; Mammalia; Primates; Cercopithecidae. The transcript has a single exon. The record is from RefSeq and is a predicted model, not a curated record.